UACGGGAGGCAGCAGUGGGGAAUAUUGCACAAUGGGCGAAAGCCUGAUGCAGCAACGCCGCGUGAGUGAGGAAGGCCUUUGGGUCGUAAAGCUCUGUUCUUGGGGAAGAAACAAAUGACGGUACCCAAGGAGAAAGCCCCGGCUAACUACGUGCCAGCAGCCGCGGUAAUACGUAGGGGGCGAGCGUUAUCCGGAAUUAUUGGGCGUAAAGAGUGCGUAGGUGGUUUUGUAAGCGCGGGGUGAAAGGCUAUGGCUUAACCAUAGUAAGCCCUGCGAACUGUAAGACUUGAGUGCAGGAGAGGAAAGCGGAAUUCCUAGUGUAGCGGUGAAAUGCGUAGAUAUUAGGAGGAACACCAGUGGCGAAGGCGGCUUUCUGGACUGUAACUGACACUGAGGCACGAAAGCGUGGGGAGCAAACAGGAUUAGAUACCCUGGUAGUCCACGCCGUAAACGAUGAGCACUAGGUGUCGGGGCCGCAAGGUUUCGGUGCCGCAGUUAACGCAUUAAGUGCUCCGCCUGGGGAGUACGCACGCAAGUGUGAAACUCAAAGGAAUUGACGG
This 560-nucleotide ribosomal RNA is filed under the name uncultured bacterium. RNAcentral describes it as "bacterial SSU rRNA". It matches the Rfam family "Bacterial small subunit ribosomal RNA", at positions 340 to 916 of the family's 1533-position model. The record is from RNAcentral.